UUGACAGUAACACAAAUUGCUUAUUAAAUGGAAAAAAAUCAAUAAAUAGACAUAAAAAGGGGGUUCAUAGAAUAUAUAUAGGAUAAAGGUGCCCUUGGAGAAGCUGAUAUUCACAAACGAGAAAAAUUCGAUCCAAUAGGGAAGUAACUCAUCGGAAUUGGUGGGCUUUUCUUAGCUUUGCUUUCCUUCAAUUUAGCAUUACUAGCAGUGUUAGCUUUGAUCGACGACGGUGAAACCUUCUCUCGUUGAGAACCAGAGAAACAACUGAAGAAACUGAUCAAGAGAGCCAUGAAAAAAUUAGGGUUAGCUUGCACAACUUUGAGGACUGAUUCUUUUGCAAGAGGCAAGUACUAGUAGUUGUUUGUUGGAACAUGAUAUUGUUGGUGGUCUGGUCUCUUUAUAUAUAUAAGCAGGCUGUUGGGUUUUGAGAGAGGAAAGGACAUGCAUGGAACCUGGACUGAUGUUGUAGCUUUCAGGUUGUUCUUGGUGUCUUCGAGGAAAGGGAUAAGGUGUGUGGUGUUUCAUGCGUGGUGAACAAGCAUGAAAAAGAAAAGGUUAAGUUGAAAUUUCAACACAGUGCUCAUAGUUGACUAUUAUCAUCUUUGUAAUUAAGUUAGCAGCCUAUGUAAACCAUUUCAAAUUCAAUGACGUCUACAUAUAUAAAAUUAUAAAUUUUUGGAGGGCUAGGUUAAAAAAUUUGUGUUGUGUUGUGUUGUGUGUCACAGGACUAAAACUUAAAUUUUGUAAACUCCGCAGCUUUAGCCAGAAAUUUAGCUUUAAAUCUGCAGAAGUCAACUUAACUGUCGAAAGUGAGAAUUUAUAAAAAAAAUUCUUUAAGUCACCGAAAUAAAGUGGAAGUAAACUCAAAGCGGAAAAGUAACUAAAGAACCAAAAAAGCGAUAAGAACUUUGAAUGAAAUGUUUACAAAUGAGGGAGAACGCCUCUAUUUAAAGUUGAACUCUCCCAAAUUCAAUAAUACUGUCUAAAUUACAUCAACGGUUAAAAUUAAAGUCUAUGUACAAGAUACUAUGCUUGUAGAUUUUAUCCGCAUUUUCCAAUUACAUCGUUUUUAGUAUUUUUUUAUUUAUUUUGAAAUUUCAUUUUUAGCAGGGCAAAGGGAGGGGCCAGACAAGGACAUUGGCCACCUAAAAUUAAAAUUUUUUGUUUUAGACCCUGUAAAUUUAUAAAUUUAUAAGUUAAUUCACAGUAAAAUUAUAGUUUAGCUCCCCAAAAUAAUAAAAUCUCAAUUUAGUCUCUCAAAAAGCUGUGAAAAUAUAAGCCAAUACAAUGGUGAAAUCGCAUUUUAACUCCCAUAAAAAUAUAUAACAUAAUCUCGUCUCCAAAAAAUUUGUCUAACUUCUCCCUGAUUCUUAGUCUUUAAGCUUUUUUUAAUUGAACCAUUUCAUUUGACAAUCAAUUUAAUUGACCAAAGUAAGUAAUGUUAAUUUGAUUUAAUUAAAUCGAUAACUAAUUAAUUUGCAAGUUGAUUGAUUCAACAGAAUAUUCGUUGGGUUAACUGAUAAGACAGAUUACCCUCCCCUAAUUGAUUCGCAUCAAAGAACUUUGAAAACUAUGGAAGUGCAUAGUUCAGCCAAAUGCUAAGGACCUAGUCAAUUCAUUCAGCCAAAUUUUCCAACAUAAAUUGAGCUCCACACACUUUGAGUUAUAUAAAUUACAUCUUCAAAUAUCAACUUAAUAAUAAAUUAAAAUGUGCUAUGGGUACUUAUACUCUUUAAUUAUUUAAAAUUUAAUCCCUUUCAAAUUUAAAAAUACAAGUUAACGGAUCCUUACAUUAGAAGACGGUGGGCAUAGAAAGAGGAAAACAUUAAAUGAUAUUCAUCGGGUAUCUUGCUAUUCAUCGGGUCAUGACAAGAUGAAUUAAAUGAUAUUCUUUACUAAGCCAGGGGCGAAGGUGUAUGACUCUCGUAAAAUGAAAAAUUGUUACUUUAAUCCUCAAAUUUUAUAAAAUAUUAAAUUAAUAUACAGCAAAACUAUAAUUUAACUCUUUAAAAAUGUUAAAUUUCUGCUGCCCAUACAUAUCAUUAUCCAAAUACUUAAUCUAAAAUUGAGAUGUUUUGCGUUUAGAUUAUUUUAAUUUGAAGUUCGAAUUUUUUCGAAUUGUAUCGGUAUAAGUUUUACUUUAAUUUUUUAUCAUUAUAAGUUUGAGUUGAUAUUAUUUUCGAGUUAAUUUGAAUUUAUUAAAUUAGAGGAGUAUGAAUAAUGGAUGUUUCUUAAUUAGGUUUGGUCUUGAACUUACAUUAAUCUGAUUUUAUCUAUAAUAAUUUGCACUUAACACACGUUCUUAAUGAAAAAAUACAGCGACACAUUUGAGUUAUAAAAAUAAUUUUUCCAAAUAUCAACAAAAAUGAAAUUUCUUACAAAAGAAUACACUAAACUCUAACAGUAGAUGUCCUAAACAAACAUUAUUAACAUUGUCGAAGAUGAAAACAAAUUAAGACAAUUCUCAAAAGAAAAAACAAAGAGUUGAUUAGAAUACAGAGAAAACGUGCUCUUAAAGAAGCUGACAUGCAUGUAAGCAUCUGUUUCAACUCCAACAUCGGACUUGAGACCAGUCUGUCUCGGGACAUGAGCGUUUAAAGGAUGGAUUCCAACUUAUACUACUUCGACCAACAGCUUUCAUAACAGGGAAAGUUUUGAUCCGAUAGGGAAGUAAGUAAUGGGAAUAGGAGGGUUGUUCUUAGCCUUGCCUUCCUUCAAUUUAGCAUCACUACCUGCUUUACUAACGGUUGAUGAUGAUGGUUGAGUGUCUUCUCCUUGGGAAGCUACCUUAUUAGAACCAGAGAAAAAACAAGCGACGAAACUGGUUGAAAAGAAAGCCAUUGAAAAAAGAUUACACAACUUUGAGGACUGAUUCUUUUGCAAGAUACAAGUACUAGUAGUUGUUUGUUGGAACAUGAUAUUGUUGGUGGUCUGGUCUCUUUAUAUAAGCAGGCUGUUGGGUUGUGAGAGAGGAAAGG
RNAcentral lists this long non-coding RNA (2978 nucleotides) under Gossypium raimondii (Peruvian cotton). Its description in RNAcentral is "long non-coding RNA (GRAI_LNC008787)". Lineage: Eukaryota; Viridiplantae; Streptophyta; Magnoliopsida; Malvales; Malvaceae. The record is from RNAcentral.